CUCAAUGGUGCAGGAGGUAGAGGAAGUCACCGGAGCAGUCAACAGGAUCAUCUCCGAAAGGAUCCAUAUGCCAAUCUCAUGUUGCAGCGUGAAAAGGACUGGGUCUCUAAAAUCCAGAUGAUGCAACUGCAAAGCACUGAUCCCUAUCUGGAUGAUUUUUAUUACCAGAAUUACUUUGAAAAACUGGAGAAAUUGUCAGCUGCUGAAGAAAUGCAAGGUGAUGGCCCUAAAAAGGAGCGCACUAAGGCCCUCAGGUGGCCAAACUGGAGCAUGCCUAUAAGCCAGUGUAGUUUGAGGGCUCUUUGGGAAAGCUCACUGUCUCUAGUGUGAAUAAUCCCUGAAAAAUGAUUGAUGCUGUUGUGACAUCUCGGAGUGAGGAUGAUGAGACAAAAGAAAAACAGGCUCGAGACAAGAGAAGAAAAACCCUUGUCAUAAUUGAGAAAACCUUUAGUUUACUCCUUGAUGUAGAGGAUUAUGAAAGGCGUUAUCUCCUAAGUCUAGAAGAAGAGCGACCUGCCUUGAUGGAGGAGAGAAAGCACAAAAUUCGUAGCAUGUAUGACAACUUAAGGGGGAAAUUGCCUGGACAAGAGAGGCCAAGUGAUGACCACUUUGUACAGAUCAUGUGUAUCCAAAAAGGGAAGAGAAUGGUUGCCCGUAUUCUUCCUUUCUUCUCCACAGAGCAAGCAGCUGACAUUCUCAUGACAACAGCCAGGAACCUCCCUUUCCUUAUCAAGAAGGAUGCACAAGAUGAGGUGCUGCCAUGCUUACUGAGUCCCUUCUCUCUUCUCCUCUUCAUCUUCCAUCAGUGACUGUCACCAGCCUUCUGCAACAGCUAAUGAACCUACCUCAAAGUGCAGCUGCACCAGCACCCUCCAAUCCUCACCUCACUGCUGUGCUCCAGAAUAAGUUUGGCCUGUCACUGCUCCUCAUCCUCCUGAGCCAUGGAGAAGACCUACAGAGUUCAGACUCUGCCACAGAAUCAGUGCAAAAUAAUCAGUGGACAGAGGUGAUGUUCAUGGCAACCCGAGAACUUAUACGGAUUCCCCAAGCAGCCCUGGCCAAGCCAAUCUCUAUACCCACAAACCUAGUAUCCCUCUUUUCUCGCUAUGUUGACCGGCAGAAACUGAACUUGCUGGAGACAAAACUGCAGUAAGUUUGGAAC
This is an RNA transcript of Nycticebus coucang (slow loris), 1162 nucleotides long. It is a transcript of the gene named protein PAT1 homolog 1-like, with no coding region annotated. The record is from RefSeq and is a predicted model, not a curated record. NCBI's taxonomy places the organism in Eukaryota, Metazoa, Chordata, Mammalia, Primates, Lorisidae. The transcript has a single exon.